UCUCCUCUCCUUCGGCCGUUUUCCUCCUCUUGCAAAGUGAAGGUAUUGAUUUUCUAGCUCAAGGAAUUUUCUGGCCGCCCCUCUUUCUUCCUACUACACACAGAGCCCGACACCCUUAGCUACUGCGGGGUGUCUCGGCCUCAGCCCCACCUGCCUCAUUCUGGGCCUCCCGCUCCGCUCUGAUGGCGUUUUCCAGUGUAGAACCGAGAAUGCUCGUGACAGUACAGAGGGAACCUGGAGAAUCUCAGAGGCAUCUGGACUUCCUACACCUGGACAAAGGCCAGUGCCGCGACUGAUCCAUUGCUGACCACACAGGACGAGAUAGAUCUGACUACGGACUCCUGUCCUCAGCCCCCCAUCAUCUCCUCUCACCCCAUGACCGGAACCGCGUCACCUCUGCACCACGUCUGUUUCCAGCUUGUUCCUUGCUGGCUAAGCCUGUGUAGGUUCCCAGAGCCUGGAGGCUCCCUCCUGCCUGCCUAUGGUACCUGAGAUAGCUCACCACCAAUGGUGUCCACCUGGAUGAUACAAAAUAUGAUUCCAGUCAGCCCUCUAGAUUUACAGUCGCAGAUUCAACCUUCAAUGAGGAGAAAACAUUAAAACUCUCUCUCUGUC
Mesocricetus auratus (golden hamster) is the source of this 615-nucleotide long non-coding RNA. RefSeq lists it as uncharacterized. The record is from RefSeq and is a predicted model, not a curated record. Lineage: Eukaryota; Metazoa; Chordata; Mammalia; Rodentia; Cricetidae. The transcript has 2 exons.